RNAcentral lists this small nucleolar RNA (202 nucleotides) under Sorex araneus (European shrew). Its description in RNAcentral is "Small nucleolar RNA U3 (ENSSARG00000014731.1)". It matches the Rfam family "Small nucleolar RNA U3". Rfam says of the family: Small nucleolar RNAs (snoRNAs) are involved in the processing and modification of rRNA in the nucleolus. There are two main classes of snoRNAs: the box C/D class, and the box H/ACA class. The record is from RNAcentral. Lineage: Eukaryota; Metazoa; Chordata; Mammalia; Eulipotyphla; Soricidae.
AAGAAUAUACUUUCAGGAAUCAUCUCUACAGUUCAUCACUAGAGAAGUUUCUCUGAUCCUGUAGAGCACCGGAAACCAUGAGAGGAGUCAGAGGGUCAUCUCCUGAGCAUGAAAACUGUUCUGCGAGUUGCUUUUGCAGCUGCCGUUUACCAUUGAUGAUCAUUCUUCUCUUCUCUAGGAGAGGGAGAGGAUGCAGGCUGAG